AUGCCCCUAAGCAUGCAUAGAAUGCCUGUCUCCCCACCCCCCAUCCCAGGAAAUGAAAGGAACUUGAGAUACAGGGGAAGAUUCUGUGCAUGCUCAGAGAUAUACAGUAUUUUUAUACCUGAUAGCGGGAUGCAAAGAGAAAAUGAAUUCAGAAGAAAAAUAAUGAUUGAAACAAAAGUAUAUAAUGCAACCAAUCAAAGGAAAUGAAGAUAUUCCGAGAAUGUGAUCCUGCAAUUUUAUGACUGCUACCAGAAUGGUACCUGGAGUUGCAGCUGCAUCACAGAUUUCUGUAAGUACAGUAUAUUACAAUACUGGCCGCCUUGUUUACAAUCGAUUUUCUAGUCAUACCUAGCAUGGAAUUCGCCAUUACUGUAUCAUCCUGGCUGUUCAAUGAGAUUUGUGGUUUGUUUUAUCCUUCUAAAGAAAAAGUCUGGAGCUCAAAAUGACUUAUCAAGCUGGACCUAGAAAGUCUUUCCGCCUCAUUUAUCUCUUAUCAGAAUCUGUGUUGCACCUUCUUGUUCCGAAGAACCUCAUAAAGCUUCCUGAUGUAUUUGCUCUGUGUGUGUGUGUGUGUUAGCAUGUUUGUUUGAAAUUGAAAUACUGUAUGCAUGACUCUGUCUUGUUUAUUGGAUGUUGGUUCAGGUAUUUAAACGUUUGAAACAAUAAGAAAGGAGAGGUGGCUUUACUCUAAGUGUAUUUGCUUCCAAACUGCCAGGACAUCCUGGAAUCUCCCAUUUAAAGUGUCCUUU
This 749-nucleotide long non-coding RNA is filed under the name Pogona vitticeps (central bearded dragon). RNAcentral describes it as "lncRNA (ENSPVIG00000021886.1)". Lineage: Eukaryota; Metazoa; Chordata; Lepidosauria; Squamata; Agamidae. The record is from RNAcentral.